RNAcentral lists this ribosomal RNA (292 nucleotides) under uncultured bacterium. Its description in RNAcentral is "partial 16S ribosomal RNA". It matches the Rfam family "Bacterial small subunit ribosomal RNA", at positions 505 to 796 of the family's 1533-position model. The record is from RNAcentral.
GUGUCAGCAGCCGCGGUAAUACGUAGGGUGCAGGCGUUAAUCGGAAUUACUGGGCGUAAAGCGUGCGCAGGCGGUUUGUUAAGACAGGUGUGAAAUCCCCGGGCUUAACCUGGGAACUGCGCUUGUUACUGGCAGACUUGAGUGUGGCAGAGGGGGGUGGAAUUCCAGGUGUAGCAGUGAAAUGCGUAGAGAUCUGGAGGAACACCGAUGGCGAAGGCAGCCCCCUGGGUUAACACUGACGCUCAUGCACGAAAGCGUGGGGAGCAAACAGGAUUAGAAACCCCCGUAGUCC